This 490-nucleotide ribosomal RNA is filed under the name uncultured bacterium. RNAcentral describes it as "partial 16S ribosomal RNA". It matches the Rfam family "Bacterial small subunit ribosomal RNA", at positions 30 to 507 of the family's 1533-position model. The record is from RNAcentral.
AUUGAACGCUGGCGGCAGGCCUAACACAUGCAAGUCGAACGGUAACAGGAAGAAGCUUGCUUCUUUGCUGACGAGUGGCGGACGGGUGAGUAAUGUCUGGGAAACUGCCUGAUGGAGGGGGAUAACUACUGGAAACGGUAGCUAAUACCGCAUAACGUCGCAAGACCGAAGAGGGGGACCUUCGGGCCUCUUGCCAUCGGAUGUGCCCAGAUGGGAUUAGCUAGUAGGUGGGGUAACGGCUCACCUAGGCGACGAUCCCUAGCUGGUCUGAGAGGAUGACCAGCCACACUGGAACUGAGACACGGUCCAGACUCCUACGGGAGGCAGCAGUGGGGAAUAUUGCACAAUGGGCGCAAGCCUGAUGCAGCCAUGCCGCGUGUAUGAAGAAGGCCUUCGGGUUGUAAAGUACUUUCAGCGGGGAGGAAGGGAGUAAAGUUAAUACCUUUGCUCAUUGACGUUACCCGCAGAAGAAGCACCGGCUAACUCCGUG